Molecule: transfer RNA, 69 nt
Filed under: Marmota monax (woodchuck)
Lineage: Eukaryota; Metazoa; Chordata; Mammalia; Rodentia; Sciuridae
Description: tRNA.Ala
Source: RNAcentral
GGAGUUGUGGCUCAGCGGUGGAGGGCUCUCCUAGCAUGUGUGGGGCCCUGGGUUCAAUCCUCAGCACCA